This 253-nucleotide ribosomal RNA is filed under the name uncultured bacterium. RNAcentral describes it as "partial 16S ribosomal RNA". It matches the Rfam family "Bacterial small subunit ribosomal RNA", at positions 524 to 776 of the family's 1533-position model. The record is from RNAcentral.
UACGGAGGAUGCAAGCGUUAUCCGGAAUGAUUGGGCGUAAAGCGUCCGCAGGUGGCUGUGUAAGUCUGCUGUUAAAGAGUCUAGCUCAACUAGAUAAAAGCAGUGGAAACUACACGGCUAGAGUACGUUCGGGGCAGAGGGAAUUCCUGGUGUAGCGGUGAAAUGCGUAGAGAUCAGGAAGAACACCAGUGGCGAAGGCGCUCUGCUAGGCCGUAACUGACACUGAGGGACGAAAGCGUGGGGAGCAAACAGG